This 232-nucleotide ribosomal RNA is filed under the name uncultured bacterium. Its description in RNAcentral is "partial 16S ribosomal RNA". It matches the Rfam family "Bacterial small subunit ribosomal RNA", at positions 99 to 334 of the family's 1533-position model. The record is from RNAcentral.
CGGACGGGUGAGUAAUGUCUGGGAAACUGCCUGAUGGAGGGGGAUAACUACUGGAAACGGUAGCUAAUACCGCAUAACGUCGCAGGACCAAAGAGGGGGACCUUAGGGCCUCUUGCCAUCGGAUGUGCCCAGAUGGGAUUAGCUAGUAGGUGGGGUAACGGCUCACCUAGGCGACGAUCCCUAGCUGGUCUGAGAGGAUGACCAGCCACACUGGAACUGAGACACGGUCCAG